CACUGGAAGCAAGGGCGGGUGCAGUCCAAGUAAACAGAAGGGAGGACCCCAGGCAGGGCCACCAUGAUGGAGAAGCUGGGUUCUCUCUGGGGAUGUGGGGGGGUUUCAAAGAAGGCCUAAGGGUCUGAUCUGCUGGAAGGGUAGAAGAAAGAGAGCUGGGGAAGCCUCUGAGAGAGGCAGGUUCCAGCUGAGCCUGGACCUGCAGCCAGACAAGCUAGGGCUAGGACACAUGCACCUGCAUUUGGCUGCUGUUAUCGAGCCCACAGGAGCGUCAGACCUCAAAGACCUCAACUUCAAGAGUAAAAAGGAACCCGACUGCAGGACUGGAGCAGCUAUGUGCAGAAAAGGUCAUGCACCCAAGUCCAGCUGAUGCCUCUCAAGUGGGUGACAACUCAUGCCUCCCUCCAGGCCUCAGUUUCCUCAUCUAUAAAAUGAUAAAGUUACAUCCAAUGCUAAGGCUCCUUUUCAUACUGCUUCUCCUAAGAGUCUACGUGAUGUCUGUGCAGAACCAUUCAUUGAAUAAACUUCCUGAUCUGGGACCAGGAGGCAGAUGGUGAUCUGCCUGGGGCCCACAAAGCCUUCCAGCCACUCUUCAGUCAAGGCCUUCUGACCUCCAAGCGGCCGCCCAGCCCUCCUGAAAGGGUGAGCAAUGCCUCAAUACACACUGCUGUCCCAGGGAAAUGGCUUCAAGGGACUGGCAGCAUGACAUCACACAGCUACAAUUACGGAAGGACAGAACACAGCAGAUGCCCCACAGCCUGUGUCAGGAGGGCAGGACUGGGGAGCAGGCCAGGAGAAACCUGCACCCACCCAGGACCAGCCCCAGCUUCCGUCUCUCACCAUUUCACUGUUUCUGUGUUUCACUGGCAAGAGAAAUUGAAGGAACAAAUUCACUAGACUCUUGGACGCCCUGCAUCACUCUGUAAGGCUGAGAAUCGCUGGAGUUUUCUGGUGAUCACAUAGCCAUCCAUGGGACACUGGAACCAGUUUUGGUGGCUACUGCCUUGCCAGGGGCCUUCUAACUUAUUCUAGCAGCAGAACCCUUUCCUUCAAUAAGUCAGGCUGGUGCUUGGGGCAGGACUCAGGGCUUCAGCUUCCCUGUGUCCCACCACCCACCCUACCCCACCCCCGGCCAUGCUGCUCUCUAAGCACUCUGGAGCCCUGGGCCCUGCAGAUCACAGACAUCAGCACCUUGUGUCACAUAGGAGCAAAGGCCCAAGAAGGCUAUGAGGUGCAGCCUCCAGUGCCUGAGCUUGGGAAGAUGGCUGGGGCCCCAGGACUCGAGCCUGCAGGGCACAGGCACCUUCCCGGAGUUGGGCCUGGAACUGAGUCCUGCCCCCGCUCCCUGGCUUUAAUACUGUGAUGGACAACUUGCACCAGCCAGCCCACCAGGCAGGCACACACCUGUUCAGGUGCACAGGUGACCUCUCUGCAGUGGUGCCAGGGCUGUUGUACUUUGUGAAGCCACUCAUAAGGCAAAAGUAAACAGAGGUAUUUGCUCGGGGCCAGCCACCUGCUCUCCCUGGGGGCCCAGGCGGUGCCCGGUCUCCCUUGAGGUUCUGUUGGUGUCACCUACCUUACAACCACAUUUUCUAGGGACAUCAGCUCCAGCUGAAGGAACAAUGGCACACGGCUGCCUCCUCUUAUCCCACCCCUCCUUGCCCAGAGUUUCAGAGGGGAUAGUGCAGGGCGCACCGGCUUCAGAGCCUCCAGCCUCAGGGACAAAGGGAGGUCCCUGGGACUCCCACAACCACACCACUGUGAAGCCUGAGCUUGAAGGAAGCCCAGGCCUCAUCUGGCCCCUGAGCCCAGGAAGGACGGUUAGUAGGAGGAACAGGCAGGGGGGAGGGCAGGAGGGCCCAGUCUCCAGGCCCCCAAGUGUCCUGGAGUGCUGGCCCAAAGAGGGCCUCGUCUUCUUAUGUCUUCUGCGGUGAGGUGGUGCCCUGCCUCAGAGGUCACAGCCUCCCUUAAACCUGCAAACACCAGGCCUGGACGGCCACUCUGGGGUGGGGAAGGGAAGGUCAGGUGGGCUCUGGGAGGCCGGGCAUUCCCACCCCUUCAAGCCUCCCAGGAGUACCCUCCCCAGGCCACCAGAGAGCCACCGUGGGCGUGGCCUCUCUGAGUGGUACUGACCCCCCAGCCUUCUAGGGGCUGAAGCACCCCCACCAACAGAGCAUGGAAGAAAGCCCUCAGAGACCUAUGGGAGGCUGAGGAGAGGGAGCAGGCAAGAGGACGGAGUGGAGCAGGGGAUGCACGAUCCCUUGCUGUCAUCACCACACUGCAGCCCACAGCUGGCAGGGUCCUUCCCUGCCUGGAAGCCCAGGGCCCUCUCCCACCCUGCCCCUCACCCUGCCUCCUUCUGAGCACCUCUGAUUUCACAUACAUGCUUUUGAAUAAGUGA
Suricata suricatta (meerkat) is the source of this 2401-nucleotide long non-coding RNA. RefSeq lists it as uncharacterized. The record is from RefSeq and is a predicted model, not a curated record. NCBI's taxonomy places the organism in Eukaryota, Metazoa, Chordata, Mammalia, Carnivora, Herpestidae. The transcript is spliced from 4 exons.